UUGGGCUUAGGAGCCCUCUGUAUCCACAUUCUGCUGCCAAAGCCUCAAUUCUGCUUCUGCUCUCCUGGGGCUCCAGGACCCCUGCCAUGUCGUCAUCUUCUUCAUCGAGGGUCUUGCUGCGGCAGCAGCUAAUGCGGGCCCAGGCGCAGGAGCAGGAGAGGCGUGAGCGUCGGGAACAGGCCGCCGCGGCUCCCUUCCCCAGUCCUGCACCUGCCUCUCCUGCCAUCUCUGUGGUUGGCGUCUCUGCUGGGGGCCACACAUUGAGCCGUCCACCCCCUGCUCAGGUGCCCAGGGAGGUGCUCAAGGUGCAGACCCAUCUGGAGAACCCAACGCGCUACCACCUGCAGCAGGCGCGCCGGCAGCAGGUGAAACAGUACCUGUCCACCACACUCGGGCCCAAGCUGGCUUCCCAGGCCCUCACCCCACCGCCGGGGCCCGCAAGUGCCCAGCCACUGCCUGCCCCCGAGGCUGCCCACACUACCGGCCCCACAGGCAGUGCGCCCAACAGCCCCAUGGCGCUGCUCACCAUCGGGUCCAGCUCAGAGAAGGAGAUUGAUGAUGUCAUUGAUGAGAUCAUCAGCCUGGAGUCCAGUUACAAUGAUGAAAUGCUCAGCUAUCUGCCCGGAGGCACCACAGGACUGCAGCUCCCCAGCACGCUGCCUGUGUCAGGGAAUCUGCUUGAUGUGUACAGUAGUCAAGGCGUGGCCACACCAGCCAUCACUGUCAGCAACUCCUGCCCAGCUGAGCUGCCCAACAUCAAACGGGAGAUCUCUGAGACCGAGGCAAAGGCCCUUUUGAAGGAACGGCAGAAGAAAGACAAUCACAACCUAAUUGAGCGUCGCAGGCGAUUCAACAUUAACGACAGGAUCAAGGAACUGGGCACUCUCAUCCCUAAGUCCAGUGACCCGGAGAUGCGCUGGAACAAGGGCACCAUCCUGAAGGCCUCUGUGGAUUAUAUCCGCAAGCUGCAGAAGGAGCAGCAGCGCUCCAAAGACCUGGAGAGCCGGCAGCGAUCCCUGGAGCAGGCCAACCGCAGCCUGCAGCUCCGAAUUCAG
This 1055-nucleotide small RNA is filed under the name Pan troglodytes (chimpanzee). RNAcentral's name for it is "processed transcript". The record is from RNAcentral. Lineage: Eukaryota; Metazoa; Chordata; Mammalia; Primates; Hominidae.